UCGAAUCUUAGGCUCUAAUUACGUAUACAUCUUGUGUGGGUUUUCUUUCGGAUAACCCUCAAUAAAUUGGGGAUAAGUUCCCGAACUGAACUGAAAGACGAAGAAAGACUCGAUACACGUCGGGUUAGAUGUAUCUUGUGGCUUGGUUCGAGCACAGCUCGUUGAAUCUACUAAACUAUAUAUUGGUAUCGGGAACGGUACCGUUAUCCUUAUCGGUAUGGGUAUGGGUAUGGGUAUGGGUAUGGGGUCACGGGUAUCAUAUCUCUCUUUAGCGUACAACUUACGAUCAAUUAACGGAACGAGAUCAAAAGCAAUUUCGCAUGCGAGCGGGAAAACAAAGCGAGCUCGCGAACUACUACUAUUUCUCAAAUAUUCUGGUGUCUCUGGUCUCUGUUUCUAUGCUCUAUCCAGAGACUAGAGAAACAAAUGGAGAAAAACAAGAUGAUUUUUUCAAAACCAAUAAUUUAUUUUCGUUUGCCAGGGCAAACGAUUUGUCGUCGUCCUCCUUCUCGGGGCUACUGUCGGAUAAUCUCAUCAACGCUUUGUCAUUAAACUAAACAUAAUAAUAAUAAAAUUAGGAAUUAAUUUAAUUUAAGAGUUAAAAACACUACACAUUACUUAAAGAAACAGCUUCAGUUUAGUCGAACUUCGGCGCGAACUAAACAAAUUCGUUUACAAAUAAACAGAGUUAACUAAAAUUGCAUUAUUUUAUUCCAUUAGCACAAA
Drosophila pseudoobscura is the source of this 726-nucleotide long non-coding RNA. RefSeq lists it as uncharacterized. NCBI's taxonomy places the organism in Eukaryota, Metazoa, Arthropoda, Insecta, Diptera, Drosophilidae. The transcript is spliced from 2 exons. The record is from RefSeq and is a predicted model, not a curated record.